RNA transcript from Molossus molossus (Pallas's mastiff bat), 3160 nucleotides. It is a transcript of the gene named nuclear cap binding subunit 3, with no coding region annotated. The record is from RefSeq and is a predicted model, not a curated record. The transcript has 15 exons. NCBI's taxonomy places the organism in Eukaryota, Metazoa, Chordata, Mammalia, Chiroptera, Molossidae.
GCGAUGGCGGCCGUACGCGGCCUGCGAGUGUCGGUGAAGGCUGAGGCCUCAGCGGGGCCGGCCUUGGGGCUCCCGUUGCCUGAGGAGGAAUCCGGUUUGGAGCGUGGCGAGCCGGAGCCCAUGGAGGUGGAGGAGGGCGAGCUGGAGAUUGUGCCGGUGCGGCGCUCGCUGAAGGAACUGAUCCCGGACACAAGCAGAAGAUAUGAAAAUAAGGCUGGCAGUUUCAUCACUGGAAUUGAUGUCACCUCCAAGGAAGCAAUUGAAAAGAAAGAACAGCGAGCCAAGCGCUUCCAUUUUCGAUCAGAAGUAAAUCUUGCCCAAAGAAAUGUAGCCUUGGACCGAGACAUGAUGAAGAAAGCAAUCCCCAAAGUGAGACUGGAGACGAUCUAUAUUUGCGGAGUAGAUGAGAUGAGUACCCAGGAUAUCUUUUCCUAUUUUAAAGAAUAUCCUCCAGCUCACAUUGAAUGGUUGGAUGAUACAUCCUGUAAUGUGGUUUGGCUGGAUGAAAUGACAGCCACACGAGCCCUUAUCAAUAUGAGCUCUCUGCCAGACCUGGAUAAGAUAAGAAGCAGGGAUGCUAAUGAGGACAAGUCAUCUGAGAAAAGCAAAAAAGACAAGCAGGAAGACAGUUCAGAUGAUGAUGAGGCUGAAGAAGGAGAAGUUGAAGAUGAAAACUCAAGUGAUGUAGAGUUGGACACAUUAUCUCAGGUAGAAGAAGAGUCUCUGCUAAGAAACGAUCUUCGUCCAGCUAACAAACUUGCUAAAGGAAAUAGGUUAUUCAUGAGAUUUGCUACAAAAGAUGACAAAAAGGAACUUGGAGCAGCCAGAAGAAGUCAGUAUUACAUGAAAUAUGGGAAUCCAAACUACGGAGGCAUGAAAGGAAUUCUUAGUAAUUCUUGGAAGCGAAGAUAUCAUUCCCGUCGCAUUCAACGGGAUGUGAUCAAGAAGAGAGCCCUGAUUGGGGAUGAUGUUGGCUUGACGUCCUAUAAACAUCGACAUUCCGGACUAGUGAAUGUUCCUGAGGAACCCAUUGAGGAGGAGGAGGAAGAAGAGGAGGAGGAAGACCAGGACAUGGAUGCAGAUGACAGGGUGGUGGUAGAGUACCAUGAGGAGCUCCCAGCUCUCAAGCAGACCCGGGAGCGGAGCACAUCCAGGCGUUCCAGUGCCAGCAGCUCAGACUCCGAUGAAAUGGACUAUGAUCUAGAACUGAAAAUGAUUUCCACUCCUUCACCAAAGAAAAGCAUGAAAAUGACUAUGUAUGCUGAUGAAGUGGAAUCUCAAUUAAAAAAUAUUAGGAACUCCAUGAGGGCAGAUACUAUAUCCACAAGCAAUAUAAAAAAUCGAAUUGGUAACAAAUUACCACCUGAGAAAUUUGUAGAUGUCCGACAUUUAUUAGAUGAAAAACGUCAGCACACACGUCCACGGCCAUCCAGCAGCAGUACUAAAUCAGAUAUACGCCAGCGGUUAGGAAAAAGACCACAUUCUCCAGAAAAGGCUUGUAACCCCAUCAUUCGAAGAGAGCCCUUUUCUGAUGUACAUAGUAGGUUAGGUGUUCCCAGGCAAGACAUUAAAGGCCUCUAUUCUGAUACUUGGGAGAAGAAAUCAGGUAGUUUAUGGACUCGCUUAGGAUCUGCAUCCAAGACCAAAGAAAAGAACAUGAAGAAAGUGGAUCAUAGGGCUCCUGGCACUGAGGAAGAUGACUCCGAGCUGCAAAGGGCAUGGGGGGCUCUGAUUAAGGAGAAAGAACAGUCUCGCCAAAAGAAGAGCCGGACUUAGAAGGCAAGUGGGACACCCCACCCACUGGUGAGCACAGACACUGUGCUUCUGACUCAACUCUCAAGACAGAGAAGCUGGUCCUUUUCCAUCAUGCUGAACACGGCCCUUCCAUCCCGUAAUUGAACCUUUCCUGAGGACAAACAUUCUCUCAUAAUGACCAUAGUAUAGUUAUCAAAUUCAGGUAAUGUAUGAUUUAGUACUGUUUUAACUUUAUCUCAUUGGUACAGUAGUAUCUGUAGUUCAUGUUUUAGUUUUGCCAACUGUCCCAAUAAUGUGGUCCCCCCAACCCCCUGUUUUUAAUGAAAAUCAAUUCCAGCCAGAGUUGGUGCCCUUUGUGUAACUCACCAGGAUAAUGCCAUUCACCUCUCAGCUUUCUGGCCGUAACCAGAGACUUGCCUUCUGGUUACCAUUCCCAGGAAUGAUAUUAUAUUUUGCUGAACCAAUAAUGUUUUUUAGAGCUCUUUGGGAAGGGGGGGUGUCUAGGAUUCAAUCCAGUGUCGGGCACUACAUUUAUUCUCCUUUAGUCUGGAACAAUUCCUUAGCUUUUCUUUGUCUUUUAUGAUAUUAAUGUUUUUGAAGAGUUCCGUUCAUCUAUGUUGUGGAAUGUUCCUUGAGCUGGCCUCUUAACAUUUGUUUAAAAUAAAAUGAGUUCAGAAAUCAUUUUCACAUUCCUUCUGAAUACGUAUGUACUUGCUGCACACCGAGCUUUGUGCACAGCCCUUAGGGUCUUAGGUUUGGGUUUGUGGGGACAGCAGUUACUAUCAGAUGGACUUGAAGAGCCCCUGUGUGUGCUCAGGAUUAGAGGUCUGCCAUGCUGGCAUCAGCGAGCUUGGAUGCAUGCACCUCAUAGGGGCGCAGGGUGGGUCCUCAUUCUAGACAUCACCAAAGAUGCAGAAAAUAGCCUGGUCUCCUGAGGUGUCCUGAAGUUCACACUCCAAAUGUGAAGUCCUGCUUCUCAGAAAUCUCAAGCAAGCUACAGUCCUGGGUUCCAGCCUGUCCCUGCUGCUGGUCUGCUCUGUGGCUUGGGGCUGCUCUUGCCCCUCUGGGACGUUGGUGGGGAGAGGAGCCCCUGUGGCUCUGAACAGGUGUGGGGAGGGGAGAAUCACUGAGCCCUGGUGAGGGGGACAACAGGCCAGGCCUCCUGUCUAUGACAAGGGUUAGCCAACUUGGGAUGGUCUCCAUCGUGAUCUGGGAGGCAAAUCAUCAGACCGUCAGACCUGGAACUUCGUUUUUCAGCUGUUGAACUUCUCUGUUAGAUGGCUUCAAAUAUGAAAUUGGUGAAUUGUAAUCUAUCUAACAGCCAUGUAACAUCAGGGUCUGUCAUACUAGUAGGUACUUGGUAAAACUAAAGCAGACAAUGCAAAAAUGUUUGAAGUGUCAUCAA